RNAcentral lists this ribosomal RNA (499 nucleotides) under uncultured Acholeplasma sp. Its description in RNAcentral is "bacterial SSU rRNA". It matches the Rfam family "Bacterial small subunit ribosomal RNA", at positions 903 to 1382 of the family's 1533-position model. The record is from RNAcentral. Lineage: Bacteria; Bacillati; Mycoplasmatota; Mollicutes; Acholeplasmatales; Acholeplasmataceae.
UUGCCAGCCCGCUCAAGAAACUUAAAGGAAUUGACGGGGCCCGCACAAGCGGUGGAGUAUGUGGUUUAAUUCGAUGCAACGCGAAGAACCUUACCUGGUCUUGACAUCCCCCGCGAUGCUUUAGAGAUAAAGCGGAGGUAUUCGGGGAGACAGGUGGUGCAUGGUUGUCGUCAGCUCGUGUCGUGAGAUGUUGGGUUAAGUCCCGCAACGAGCGCAACCCCUAUUGCUAGUUACCAUCAUUAAGUUGGGGACUCUAGCGAGACUGCCAGUGAUAAACUGGAGGAAGGUGGGGAUGACGUCAAGUCAUCAUGCCCCUUAUGUCCAGGGCUUCACACAUGCUACAAUGGUCGGUACAACGCGUGUGCGACACUGUGAGGUGAAGCUAAUCGCUCUAAAGCCGGUCGUAGUUCGGAUUGGGGUCUGCAACUCGACCCCAUGAAGUCGGAGUCGCUAGUAAUCGCAGAUCAGCAACGCUGCGGUGAAUACGUUCCCGGGCCUU